UCAAGUUUAUAAGGGCACACGGUGGAUGCCUUGGCACCAGGAACCGAAGAAGGACGUAGGAAUCUGCGAUAAGCCUCGGGGAGUCGAUAACCAGACUGUGAUCCGAGGAUUUCCGAAUGGGGAAACCCGGCUGGAGGCAAGUCCAGUCACCCCUGUCUGAACACAUAGGGCAGGUGGAGGGAACGUGGGGAAGUGAAACAUCUCAGUACCCACAGGAAGAGAAAGCAACCGCGAUUCCGUAAGUAGUGGCGAGCGAAAGCGGAACAGGCCAAACCAGUCAUGUGUGAUAGCUGUCAGGCGUUGCAUGGUUGGGGUUGUGGGACCUUUCGGUCAGCUCUGACAGGCUGACAUGGAGUCAAAAACUCGCGUCAUAGUCGAAGGGCAUUGAAAGGCCCGGCACAGAGGGUGCUACCCCCGUAGACGAAAUGGCGCGAACUCCAGAAAGCAAUCCCAAGUAGCACGGGGCCCGAGAAAUCCCGUGUGAAUCCGGCGGGACCACCCGCUAAGCCUAAAUAUUCCCUGGUGACCGAUAGCGGACAAGUACCGUGAGGGAAAGGUGAAAAGUACCCCGGGAGGGGAGUGAAAUAGAUCCUGAAACCGCGUGCCUACAAUCCGUCGGAGCCUCCUUGUGGGGUGACGGCGUGCCUUUUGAAGAAUGAGCCUGCGAGUUAGUGCUCGGUGGCGAGGUUAACCCGUGAGGGGAAGCCGUAGCGAAAGCGAGUCCGAAUAGGGCGAAUGAGUCGCCGGGUCUAGACCCGAAGCGGAGUGAUCUACCCAUGGCCAGGUUGAAGCGCAGGUAAGACUGCGUGGAGGACCGAACCCACUUAGGUUGAAAACUGAGGGGAUGAGCUGUGGGUAGGGGUGAAAGGCCAAUCAAACUCCGUGAUAGCUGGUUCUCCCCGAAAUGCAUUUAGGUGCAGCGUCACGUGUUUCUUGCCGGAGGUAGAGCUACUGGAUAGCCAAUGGGCCCUACCAGGUUACUGACGUUAGCCAAACUCCGAAUGCCGGUAAGUGAGAGCGUGGCAGUGAGACUGCGGGGGAUAAGCUCCGUAGUCGAGAGGGAAACAGCCCAGAUCACCAGCUAAGGUCCCUAAGCGUGUGCUAAGUGGGAAAGGAUGUGGAGUUGCCCAGACAACCAGGAGGUUGGCUUAGAAGCAGCCAUCCUUGAAAGAGUGCGUAAUAGCUCACUGGUCAAGUGAUUCCGCGCCGACAAUGUAGCGGGGCUCAAGCACACCACCGAAGCUGUGACAUUGACACUUUGCCCGGCCGUGAAAUCUACGGACUCACGGUCCAAGCGUGUCGAUGGGUAGGGGAGCGUCGUGUGGCCAGGGAAGCGGCGGAGUGAUCCAGCCGUGGAGGCCACACGAGUGAGAAUGCAGGCAUGAGUAGCGAAUGACGGGCGAGAAACCCGUCCGCCGAAUAACCAAGGUUUCCAGGGUCAAGAUAAUCUGCCCUGGGUAAGUCGGGACCUAAGGCGAGGCCGACAGGCGUAGUCGAUGGACAACCGGUUGAUAUUCCGGUACCGGCGAAGAACCGCCCAUACCGAACCUCGUGAUGCUAAGCGCCCGAAACACUGCGCGGUCUUCGGACCAAACGGUGUGGAGCGCGCGACCCGAGCGGGUAGUAGGUAAGCAAUGAAGAGACGCAGGAAGGUAGCCAAACCGCGGCGAUGGUUGACCGCGGGUAAGGGUGUAGGGCGAGGUGUAGGCAAAUCCGCACCUCACGUGCCUGAGACCUGACGCCGACCCAUAUUGGGGAAGUUGGUGAUCCUAUGCUGCCUAGAAAAUCUUCUAGCGAGGUUUUAGCCGCCCGUACCUCAAACCGACUCAGGUGGUUAGGUAGAGAAUACUAAGGCGAUCGAGUGAAUCGUGGUUAAGGAAUUCGGCAAAAUACCCCCGUAACUUCGGGAGAAGGGGGGCCCAGAGGGUGACAGGACUUGCUCCUCGAGCCCGACCGGCCGCAGAGACCAGGGAGAAGCGACUGUUUACUAAAAACACAGGUCCGUGCCAAGUCGCAAGACGAUGUAUACGGACUGACGCCUGCCCGGUGCUGGAACGUUAAGGGGACCGGUUAGCCUCACGGCGAAGCUGAGAACUUAAGCGCCAGUAAACGGCGGUGGUAACUAUAACCAUCCUAAGGUAGCGAAAUUCCUUGUCGGGUAAGUUCCGACCUGCACGAAUGGCGUAACG
RNAcentral lists this ribosomal RNA (2189 nucleotides) under oral metagenome. RNAcentral's name for it is "bacterial LSU rRNA". It matches the Rfam family "Bacterial large subunit ribosomal RNA", at positions 3 to 2006 of the family's 2925-position model. The record is from RNAcentral.